Molecule: long non-coding RNA, 814 nt
Organism: Hippocampus comes (tiger tail seahorse)
Lineage: Eukaryota; Metazoa; Chordata; Actinopteri; Syngnathiformes; Syngnathidae
Exons: 2
Source: RefSeq, a predicted model, not a curated record
GUUUUUUUGUCUUACUUGACUGUUAUGGGCUGCUUGUUGUUACGUUAGCCGCCACGAAAAAUCGCCUUGCAGCUUGAAAAACUUGUCAGUAAAAAAGUCCUCUCUGUGAGAAGCACGACUUCAUAAAAGUGUACUUACUGCGAGGUUAAAGAAAACUGAUGAGGAAUUGCUACCAAGCUGUUUUGAAGAGUGACAUCACAAGUUCACAAGGAGGGAGCACACACACACCCCAAAAGCUCAAUAAUUGUUUUGUUUUUUUCCUUCCCCCCAGCUUCAGAAGAGAUUCCUGCAGAUGAACGCCAGAAAACCGAUGAGCGGCCGCCAAUACUGCCAGUGUCGCGGCCCGACAGCUGCCGUGGCACCACGGCGGCCGGAGAAGACGACAACAACGACGACGAAGAAGAAGAAGAAGCCGCCCGCCCUCCCGAUGUGCUGAAAAAGCGACUGAAGGAAAAUAAAGAAAAAAGAUGACGUGAGAGAGAGAGAGAGAGAGAGAAUUAGUAAGACAAUGACGAGCUGAAUAUAAAUUGAAUCGAUGUGAACUUAUUCACAUGAACGCAGCAGAUGAAUUUAGUUCCAGCGCAUUUUGAAAUAUGAGCUGCUUUGAUGCCCUUUAUCCCUGCGAGUUAUUUUGACGCAACUCCUAUUUUGUAAUUAUUUUUUAAAGAUAGACUUUUCUUUUUUUUCUGUUCCUAAGUUGCAGUUCACGUGAAUGGUUUGACAUCUGUGGUGUACAUCGUCUGUAUAUAUAUAUAUGACUCUGGUUAUGUCGGAGGCAAACUUCAAUAAAGUAAUGCUUAUUUCCGUCUUCUCA